GUAGCAUCCGUUAACGGCAUUGCACCCCGAGCCACUCUUCCCCCCGCGAACAGAGAGCAAGACCGACUCGAAGGCAAGCGUCAUUCAAGGCAACCGAAAUUCGAGGGACACAAUGGGGCAUCAACCCAUGUUCACCGCAUGGACUGCAUCCGAGAGAACGGUAUAUGCCCGUGUGCCGCAGAAGUCAUGACAAUGCACAACUAAUACGGAGCACGUGCAUUACCUUGAAAUCCUCCGGCAACCCCGCAAAGGGAGCCCGAAUAGAAGGAUAAUUACGAGCCACACGAAUACCAUCUCUUUAACAGGUAGCCAGCACAGGAACCGCAAAUGAACACCAGAGCC
This 342-nucleotide unclassified non-coding RNA is filed under the name Oxylobium pulteneae. Its description in RNAcentral is "partial external transcribed spacer". The record is from RNAcentral. Lineage: Eukaryota; Viridiplantae; Streptophyta; Magnoliopsida; Fabales; Fabaceae.